AUCGCUUAUCGUAGAAGCUCGGAUGAAGAUCGAUUGCCGUAGAAGUCCGGAUGGAGACCGCUUAUCAUAGAAGCUCAGAUGAAGAUCGAUUGCCUUAGAGGUCUGGAUGGAGACCACUUAUCGUAGAAGCUCGGAUGAAGACCGAUUGCCAUAGAGGUCCGGAUGGAGACCGUUUAUCAUAGAAGCUCGGAUGAAGAUCGGUUGCCGUAGAAGUUC
RNAcentral lists this long non-coding RNA (216 nucleotides) under Elaeis guineensis (African oil palm). RNAcentral describes it as "long non-coding RNA (EGUI_LNC062683)". The record is from RNAcentral. Lineage: Eukaryota; Viridiplantae; Streptophyta; Magnoliopsida; Arecales; Arecaceae.